ACGCUGGCGGCAGGCCUAACACAUGCAAGUCGAACGGUAACAGGAAAAAGCUUGCUGCUUCGCUGACGAGUGGCGGACGGGUGAGUAAUGUCUGGGAAACUGCCCGAUGGAGGGGGAUAACUACUGGAAACGGUAGCUAAUACCGCAUAACGUCGCAAGACCAAAGAGGGGGACCUUCGGGCCUCUUGCCAUCGGAUGUGCCCAGAUGGGAUUAGCUUGUUGGUGAGGUAACGGCUCACCAAGGCGACGAUCCCUAGCUGGUCUGAGAGGAUGACCAGCCACACUGGAACUGAGACACGGUCCAGACUCCUACGGGAGGCAGCAGUGGGGAAUAUUGCACAAUGGGCGCAAGCCUGAUGCAGCCAUGCCGCGUGUAUGAAGAAGGCCUUCGGGUUGUAAAGUACUUUCAGGCGGGGAGGAAGGGAGUAAAGUUAAUACCUUUGCUCAUUGACGUUACCCGCAGAAGAAGCACCGGCUAACUCCGUGCCAGCAGCC
This 495-nucleotide ribosomal RNA is filed under the name Escherichia albertii. RNAcentral's name for it is "bacterial SSU rRNA". It matches the Rfam family "Bacterial small subunit ribosomal RNA", at positions 33 to 516 of the family's 1533-position model. Lineage: Bacteria; Pseudomonadati; Pseudomonadota; Gammaproteobacteria; Enterobacterales; Enterobacteriaceae. The record is from RNAcentral.